AUGGCAUUGCCAUGGAGGGAGCCGGGCAUCACUGUGAUAGGUGGCAGACAUCACUGUGCUGGGCACCGCAGCACGAUGCUCACCGCACUGCGGUCCAGAACACCGGGUACACCGCACAUCACUGCAACGCUGUGUUCCGGGGGAUCACCAGGCACCGGGGUGCGGGAGGACCAGGGCUGGUGCCCUGCAGACCGAGGUGUGGAGCUGCCGUGCCUCGAGCCCACCCUGUGGCUCGUGGGCAGCACGUGGCGGUGUCCCCGCGGCUCCGGUGGCAGCAGUGUCGCGGACACUGGCACCGCGGUGCUGGCACUGCUGCGGCUGCAUCCUGCACCCUCGGGCACCGGCUCUGCUGGCCCCGGUGGCUGGCAAGUGUGGCUGCAGCCCGUGGUGAGCAGAGGCACUGACCGCAGAGGAGAGUCUGGGAUUGAGCAACCUGCGGUGAGAGCAGCCGGUUUCACGCCCCGGACCCUGGAGAACACCACUGUACCCCGUAUUGGACCGCUCCGGGCUGAGCAUCUGCUCUCACACAGCCCCCUGGCCCGGGGUGUGUUUGCAGGCACUCGUGAGCCUUUUCUGAGCCGGGCAGAGAUGUCAGAACCCCCCCGGUGUCGAAGGGGUCUGCCGGAGGUUUACCGGGUGCCGGGCCCCCUCUGCCGGCUCCGGGAGUGCUCACAAGUAGCCAAUUCUGCUGGUAGCACCCUGGCUGAGCCCCAUACACGGCACCCUUGGGUGUCCUGGCCCUCAGAGCUCGGGGCAGUGCACAUUUCUGGUGCCGUGGGGCAGCCAGGUCACCCCGCCCACCCAUCAGACGUGCUUUGGCAGCCAAACGUGUUGCAUGGGGUCGGUGCAAGCCAUGUCUGCGGUGCAGAGCAGCAGCACUGGGUCCUUGGCCAGGACGGCGAGUGCUGCCGGGCUUUGUCCGGAGCCGGGGCAGCGGAGGCAGCCCGAGCUCUCUCCCUCCCUCUUUGGUCGGGUUGCACGCUCGGCUGCCUCUGUAAACCGAGCUUGCUGCUUUACAGCGGUGCUCAGCCACUUCUCUCCCCUGCACACCUAUGUAGGUUUUCCCAGUACUCCCUGUUCAAAGGACACCCUGGGAUCCCAUUUCUCCAGCUGCCCCGUCCCCAACUUGGUCUCGGGCCAGGUGCUCCCCUCAAUGGGCACCCCCACAAUGGGCAGCAGAGGUGGAUGUGGUGCUGUGUUGGUGUGAGCCAGGCGGGAGGAUGA
This 1224-nucleotide long non-coding RNA is filed under the name Parus major (Great Tit). RNAcentral describes it as "lncRNA (ENSPMJG00000001151.1)". Lineage: Eukaryota; Metazoa; Chordata; Aves; Passeriformes; Paridae. The record is from RNAcentral.